CCAAUCGAACCCGGAGAUAGCUGGUUCUCCUCGAAAUAGCUUUAGGGCUAGCCUCAUUUUAGUCUUAUGGAGGUAGAGCACUGAAUUUCCGCGGGGGCGUCAAAGCUUACCAAAGAAUAUCAAACUCCGAAUGCCAUGUAGAUGAUGAAUGGGAGUCAGACUGCACGAGAUAAGUUGGGCAGUCAAAAGGGAAAGAGCCCAGACCACCAGCUAAGGUCCCAAAGUGUGUGUUAAGUGGAAAAGGAUGUGGGAUUUCAAAGACAACUAGGAUGUUGGCUCAGAAGCAGCCACACAUUCAAAGAGUGCGUAACAGCUCACUAGUCGAGAGGUCCUGCGCCGAAAAUGUCCGGGGCUAAAACACAACACCGAAGCUGUGGAAUCACGUAAGUGAUUGGUAGAGGAGCAUUCUUAAGACCGACGAAGCUGUACCGGAAGGAGCAGUGGAGGGAUAAGAAGAGAGAAUGCCGGAAUGAGUAGCGAGAGAGAGGUGAGAAUCCUCUCGGCCGAAUAUCCAAGGUUUCCAGAGUAAAGCUGAUCUGCUCUGGGUAAGUCGGGGCCUAAGGAGAGGUCGAAAGACGUAUCCGAUGGACAACAGGUUUAGAUUCCUGUACCACAUAUGAACAGAACUGUGGGGACGCAUGUGGAGAGCACGAGCCGGGAAUGGAAAUACCGGUACAAGCGGAGAAGGAGUCUGGUUGGCAAAUCCGCCAGACAAUCCGAAGACGUGAUGUGGAGCGAAUUAGAGUAGCGAAGCGUGUGAGCCAUGUGCCGAGAAAAGCCGCUAUUGUUUCAUGUGUGCCCGUACCGUAAACCGACACAGGUGGAUGAGGAGAGAAUCCUAAGGCCGGCGGAAGAAGCAUUGUUAAGGAACUCGGCAAAAUGACCCCGUAACUUCGGGAGAAGGGGUGCCUGCGAGAGCAGGCCGCAGAGAAUAGGCUCAAGCAACUGUUUAGCAAAAACACAGGUCUAUGCGAAACCGAAAGGUGAAGUAUAUGGGCUGACGCCUGCCCGGUGCUGGAAGGUUAAGAGGAGAGGUUAGCGCAAGCGAAGCUUUGAAUUUAAGCCCCAGUAAACGGCGGCCGUAACAAUAACGGUCCUAAGGUAGCGAAAUUCCUUGUCGGGUAAGUUCCGACCCGCACGAAAGGCGUAAUGAUUUGAGCACUGUCUCGACAAUGCAUCCGGUGAAAUUGAAGUACCAGUGAAGAUGCUGGUUACCCGCGCCAGGACGGAAAGACCCCAUGGAGCUUUACUCCAGUUUGGUACUGGGAUUCGGUACUGCAUGUACAGGAUAGGUGGGAGACUAAGAACUUGGGACGCCAGUUUCAAGGGAGUCGCUGUUGGGAUACCACCCUUGCAGUAUUGGAUUUCUAACCAGCCGCCGUGAUCCGGCGGUGGGACAAUGCCAGGCGGGGAGUUUGACUGGGGCGGUCGCCUCCGAAAGGGUAUCGGAGGCGCUCA
RNAcentral lists this ribosomal RNA (1458 nucleotides) under human gut metagenome. RNAcentral's name for it is "bacterial LSU rRNA". It matches the Rfam family "Bacterial large subunit ribosomal RNA", at positions 829 to 2312 of the family's 2925-position model. The record is from RNAcentral.